CCCGGUUGUAGAUGUAUCUCUCCAGGAAGCGCUGUGUCCCAUUAAACGCGUAGCAUUCCUGCCGUAACUGGUACACCGGACCAUGUGUCAACUUAUGCCGCGUUUGUACAGACGCAUAGACCAACAGGGGAGUUUAUGUUUGAAUUUGAUGAAGAUGAGAUGUUCUAUGUGGAUCUGGACAAGAAGGAGACCGUCUGGCAUCUGGAGGAGUUUGGCCAAGCCUUUUCCUUUGAGGCUCAGGGCGGGCUGGCUAACAUUGCUAUAUUGAACAACAACUUGAAUACCUUGAUCCAGCGUUCCAACCACACUCAGGCCACCAACGAUCCCCCUGAGGUGACCGUGUUUCCCAAGGAGCCUGUGGAGCUGGGCCAGCCCAACACCCUCAUCUGCCACAUUGACAAGUUCUUCCCACCAGUGCUCAACGUCACGUGGCUGUGCAACGGGGAGCUGGUCACUGAGGGUGUCGCUGAGAGCCUCUUCCUGCCCAGAACAGAUUACAGCUUCCACAAGUUCCAUUAC
This 519-nucleotide unclassified non-coding RNA is filed under the name Homo sapiens (human). RNAcentral's name for it is "major histocompatibility complex, class II, DP alpha 1 (ENSG00000224103.7)". The record is from RNAcentral. Lineage: Eukaryota; Metazoa; Chordata; Mammalia; Primates; Hominidae.